Molecule: transfer RNA, 76 nt
Filed under: Actinoplanes auranticolor
Lineage: Bacteria; Bacillati; Actinomycetota; Actinomycetes; Micromonosporales; Micromonosporaceae
Description: tRNA-Leu
Rfam family: tRNA
About the family: Transfer RNA (tRNA) molecules are approximately 80 nucleotides in length.
Source: RNAcentral
GGGGCCGUAGCCCAAUUGGCAGCAGGCGCAUGGUUUAGGUCCAUGACAGUGCGGGUUCGAGUCCCGUCGGCCCCAC